CUGGUGGAAGUUUUCUUUUCACUUCCAAUUUUUGCAUGUCAUCGUGAUGAGAUGUUAUAAUUUCAUCGGUGCAUGCAAGUGCAGCUUCUGAUUCUUAGAUGUUUCUUUUUUGUUGCAAUUGUUAUUUACUUUCCACAAUGUCAUCAUCAUAGGCAUCAAGCAGAAAAGUUUCAACAUGCCCUCUGUGCAAGGCUAGUUUUGUUGCCAUUAGAAAGGCUGAUGAUGCAAUUCCUGCUGAUCAGAAGAUAUACACCCAAACUAUUCCGGACCACAACCCAGAAAUGGACAUAUAUAUACUUCCCGUGGGUGAAACACCAAGAUUCCCUUCUAAUGUAAGUUCAAUGGCAGUUUUCAUUCUAUUCUGUAUGGUGGAGAACAUUACCUCCUGUUUGUUUGUGCUGUAAUAGAUGUGAAUAUCUAUAUCUCAUCAUUGCCAUCGAAGAACAUGUAUUGCCGUAAUAUUGGUUACCUUUUCUGCAUCCAUGUGCCUUCUCUUCCUACAGGUGCAGACAAAAGUCGGAUGCAUGAAUAGCCUAUUCCCCUUUUGGUGUAAUGAGCGUGACUAGGACAUAUUAGUUUCCUGUAUCAAGCUAUUCAAUGUUAUAGAUCAAAGCGAGAAGCAACAGGAAUGCAGCAUAUCGAGCUAAGUUGAAGAUGCCUCAUCAUAUUGGUAGCAAGCCUAUUCAGGAGAUUAUUUAUCAAAAGGUAUUAUCAUAAAAUUUCUAUUUUCCUAGAGGAAAUAUUUAUGAGAUGUUAUUUGACAUGUUUGCUUUUGAUGUAAAGGGCGGGAAAUAUGGCAAUCCACCAAAUUUGGGGACUGUUUUCUUUGAGACUCGUAAGAAAGAUAACAAGCUUAUUGAACCUGAAGCAAUUGAAAAACAUGUAUGUUUGGUAUACUAAAUAUGUAAAUUACUUGAUAGUAUUAGGAAUAACCUAAAUCUGUACCCUUUUAGGUUUGGAACCAGAAAGAGUUCAAAGUCUCACUUGAUUUGGAAUACUUCUUGAUUUACAAGAGACUUUAGUGGAAGUUAAAAAGAAUUAACACCUACAAUCGAUGGAAUUUUUUUUAGUUGGGAACAUAUAAUAGAUGGUAUUGCCACUGGUAAAUUAUUUUGAGGCUUUGCAAGAAUACCUUGUUGUUGUUGCUGAGUAAUUGCCUUAAGAAUACCUCCUGUUGUUGCUACUACUUGCAAAUUUCUCACCCAUUUAGCCCUUGAUUGCACCAGUUGUAUUAGGAAUAACCUGAAUCUGUACCCUUUUAGGAUGAUUAACAAGCAAGUCAACUUCUAACUCUACUCUAGCACAACUUGGCCUUGUCUUAUUCUUAGUAGCCAUAUCCGACUUCAAAGGCUUCCCUAUUGCUGCUGCCAUAGAAAAGAGCUGAGAUUGGCCAAAAUAAUUAGGUGCUAGUGUUGGAAACGAGAUCCAUGCAAUGGUUAUAGUAGUCUCUUCCUCAUGAUUAAACCAAGGAUCCCACUUCAAUGUACGCAUAGGAUAAUACCAUUGCUGCUCGGUGGCCUAAGAGGCCAUGAAAGGCCGAAAAGAGCUCAAAGCUCCAUGGGAGCCGUCAAGGUUUUUUCUUUAUAUUUCUAACUUUGCCACGGGAAACAACGCCUUAAGUUUAAACACUUCCAUUAUGCUUGUCACAGUUAUUGUUUUAGUUGCGUUUUAAAAUAGACUUUGAUUCUUGGUUAAUGCAUCCCGAAACUUUUCUAAUUAAUUUUUCUUAUACUCUUGCAGCCUUGAUGAUUUUGUUGGAUACACCAAAUGAAUUUAUUAGAUUACUUUUGGGGUUUUGAAGAUUGAAUUUGACAAGUCAAGAUGGAAGUUUAGAAGAUGCACAAGCUCAUUAUUUUGCUAGGAAUGUUAGGCACUCGCUAUCGUAGUCUAGCUCGAGUGUUAGCAAUGUUUUUUUUGUUAAGGUGUCGAGCAAAUAUUGAAACUAACAUCAUGGGAUGUUAACAAUUUUACUGUAAUUAAUAACUCUAUCUUCCUCUUUAUAUAUAUAAUGCUUUUGUAUCUAGAUGUUUUAGUAGGAAUUCGAUAUUUAUUGAUAAAAUAAUAUUUUUGUGA
Lycium barbarum (goji berry) is the source of this 2073-nucleotide long non-coding RNA. RefSeq lists it as uncharacterized. The record is from RefSeq and is a predicted model, not a curated record. NCBI's taxonomy places the organism in Eukaryota, Viridiplantae, Streptophyta, Magnoliopsida, Solanales, Solanaceae. The transcript is spliced from 3 exons.